UGGGAACAAUGAGCAAAAGAGUCUU
This 25-nucleotide non-coding RNA is filed under the name Rattus norvegicus (Norway rat). Lineage: Eukaryota; Metazoa; Chordata; Mammalia; Rodentia; Muridae. The record is from RNAcentral.